RNAcentral lists this ribosomal RNA (463 nucleotides) under Escherichia coli. RNAcentral describes it as "bacterial SSU rRNA". It matches the Rfam family "Bacterial small subunit ribosomal RNA", at positions 1 to 460 of the family's 1533-position model. The record is from RNAcentral. Lineage: Bacteria; Pseudomonadati; Pseudomonadota; Gammaproteobacteria; Enterobacterales; Enterobacteriaceae.
AAAUUGAAGAGUUUGAUCAUGGCUCAGAUUGAACGCUGGCGGCAGGCCUAACACAUGCAAGUCGAACGGUAACAGGAAGAAGCUUGCUUCUUUGCUGACGAGUGGCGGACGGGUGAGUAAUGUCUGGGAAACUGCCUGAUGGAGGGGGAUAACUACUGGAAACGGUAGCUAAUACCGCAUAACGUCGCAAGACCAAAGAGGGGGACCUUCGGGCCUCUUGCCAUCGGAUGUGCCCAGAUGGGAUUAGCUUGUUGGUGGGGUAACGGCUCACCAAGGCGACGAUCCCUAGCUGGUCUGAGAGGAUGACCAGCCACACUGGAACUGAGACACGGUCCAGACUCCUACGGGAGGCAGCAGUGGGGAAUAUUGCACAAUGGGCGCAAGCCUGAUGCAGCCAUGCCGCGUGUAUGAAGAAGGCCUUCGGGUUGUAAAGUACUUUCAGCGGGGAGGAAGGGAGUAAAGU